This 559-nucleotide ribosomal RNA is filed under the name Aureoboletus erythraeus. RNAcentral describes it as "partial large subunit ribosomal RNA". It matches the Rfam family "Eukaryotic large subunit ribosomal RNA", at positions 87 to 637 of the family's 3401-position model. The record is from RNAcentral. Lineage: Eukaryota; Fungi; Basidiomycota; Agaricomycetes; Boletales; Boletaceae.
CUGCGAGUGAACCGGGAAAAGCUCAAAUUUUGAAUCUGGUAGUCUGUUGGCUGCCCGAGUUGUAAUCUAGAGAAGCGUUUUCCGCGCUGGACCGUGUACAAGUCUCCUGGAAGGGAGCGUCAUAGAGGGUGAGAAUCCCGUCUUUGACACGGACUACCAGUGCUAUGUGAUGCGCUCUCGACGAGUCGAGUUGUUUGGGAAUGCAGCUCAAAAUGGGUGGUAAAUUCCAUCUAAAGCUAAAUACAGGCGAGAGACCGAUAGCGAACAAGUACCGUGAGGGAAAGAUGAAAAGAACUUUGGAAAGAGAGUUAAACAGUACGUGAAAUUGCUGAAAGGGAAACGCUUGAUGUCAGUCACGUCGGCCAGGGAUCAACCUUGCAAUUCGUUGCUGGGUGCAUUUCCUGGUCGAUGGGUCAGCAUCAGUUUCUGUCGCCGUACAAUGGCAAAGGGAAUGUGGCACUCUUUCGGGAGUGUGUUAUAGCCUUUUGUCCUAUGCGGUGGUUGGGACUGAGGAACUCGGCACGACUUUUCGUCUGUGUCUAGGAUGCUGGCAUAAUGG